RNAcentral lists this long non-coding RNA (239 nucleotides) under Linum usitatissimum (flax). RNAcentral describes it as "long non-coding RNA (LUSI_LNC008334)". Lineage: Eukaryota; Viridiplantae; Streptophyta; Magnoliopsida; Malpighiales; Linaceae. The record is from RNAcentral.
UCAGAUUGCAUCAUAUUGUGAAUUCUGAUGAGAUGUCGACAUUGAGAUAUAUUUGGGAAGGAUAUAGAAGGGUGGAAAAGGCAGUGAUGAAGGUGUGUGGUAAUGAUGUGGUAGAAGAAAUUGUGGAAAAGAAAAGAUAUCAGAACCGUGAAAAGGCCUUCGCAAGACCUUGAGCAAAAACCUUGAGAAAAAAAAAAUUAAAAAAAUGGGCUAACUUGAAAUCAAUUGGGAGAUAUACG